GAAGCGGUGGCUCAAUGGUAGAGCUUUCGACUCCAGUUAAACUCUGAAAAUUUUCGGAAACAAUUGCAAUCGAAGGGUUGCAGGUUCAAUUCCUGUCCGUCUCA
The sequence is a transfer RNA, 104 nucleotides long. It matches the Rfam family "tRNA". From Rfam's summary of the family: Transfer RNA (tRNA) molecules are approximately 80 nucleotides in length.